Megalobrama amblycephala (Wuchang bream) is the source of this 2687-nucleotide long non-coding RNA. RefSeq lists it as uncharacterized. The transcript is spliced from 3 exons. Lineage: Eukaryota; Metazoa; Chordata; Actinopteri; Cypriniformes; Xenocyprididae. The record is from RefSeq and is a predicted model, not a curated record.
GUGAACUAAUCCUUUAAGUGUAAAUCGAAUCCUAAAAACAAACUGGAGCAUUUACAAGAAGCUCCACAAAGUAAUUACACAUCACAUGCUAUUAAUUAGUAGCUACUCAUGAAACCCAAACAUGUACAUCCAAAGCGCUUCCUGUGUUCCCCGAGUUUGCAAAUCUGGACAUUAGGGGAGAUUUGUAAUGCCACGCGUCUGUCUGAGGGCAGUAUAAAUCAGCUGGCUAACGCAUGCAUAAGUCAUCAGAAGAAGCCCUCAUCUCUGAACACAAUGGCCGCGUCUGGCCAGCCGUCACAGGCUUUUUUGCCUUUGAAAAGCAAAUUGACCUCUACAGGGAUACACGAGCAAUCUGGCCAAAAGAGAGACGCGUGCUGGACGCAAUCAAAGAUGAGCGCUGACCCCGAGGUCAAGCCAGGGGUCAGCCGUCAUUGCAUUUCUCCAAACCACCAUGACCACUGACAACUUGAGGCAUUGAGCUUUUGCUAGAGUGUUGUAUUGUGUAACGCUUUCCAUCGCAGCACGAGCUAUUUCUGUAAAUAUAAUGAACUACAACCGAGAAAACUCUUGAUGGUUGUGCUCUACAUAAUGUGUUCGUUUAAUUUGAAACGCAAUCAUCUGUGGUAUAUUUGGAGCCUUACGCGCAGAGGAAAGGGAAUGAAAUAUACUGAAUUGCAAAUGAUUAAACUGCGCUCGUUUUCAUCAGUUUACUGGCAGCAAACGGAAAGCUUUAAAGGUUUCCAGCAGCAAAGGAUCGUAUUUUUACUCUGUGAAACAGUUGCUUUAGAUUCUGUUUUGCGCGCAUAAUUGGACAGACGUGUUGCACGGGUUUGCAUUCAUCCAUUGUUCCCCUCAUUAGCAUAAAGCUGCUGUAUGACCGAGUCAAAUAAUUGCUCAAGCAUUGAGAUAUGCGCCUGCCACCAUUCUCCCCUGCAGUUUGAGAAAUAUUACAACACGACACGCAAGACUAAGAUGUUCUUUAAUUAUAUAGCUAACACACAACAACGUUCCCAAAAGCAUCUGAAGUUUUGCAACUGGAUUUGCGCUCAUCUAAAGCUUCAUCUUAAGUUCUGAUUCUUCGCUCGUUUUCUCUUCGUGUUUUCCUCUGUGUUAACAUUCUGUGAAGUUUGUUUGUCUAGGUCUUAUCCAGCACAAUGCACUUCGAUGGCAUUUUAAUGAGAUUGUGUGCGUGCGCACUGGCCUCAUGUGCGCGUGUUUGCUGUGUGGCGCGUGCUUGUCGCGUCUCAUUUGCAUACAGCUGCUCGGCCGGCGCGCGCCCCUCCCCUACUGGCCGCGCGCCCCCUCUCAAUACGAUGAACACAGUAAAGACUUAUAAACAUAUUACUCUAAAACCCAGAACAUGACAAAUGUGGGCCUUUAACGAAUGCCUCGUUGUUUACAAGCUCAAAGCCGAAAGCAGACUACAGUAGACUACAAGAAGGCCUUAUUACAUCUGUGUGAGCAUACUAUUGUUGAGUUUAAAAGGAACAUAAAACAGUUGUUAAUUCACACCAAAUAAAUAAUCGAACCUAAAUGUUUAACGGUUUAGUAAAGUGUUGUAAGGAUCAUUUGCACUGCUCCACCUACAGACUGGCACACGCUAUCGCACCAACCAAUCAAAACACUACUUGAGCAUUUUGUUUACACUAAAACUUCCCGUGUUUAUGAAGCUCUCUUUAAAUCAGAAAAGAAAAACGGUUCGUUUAGGGCUUAUGUAAAGACAUGUCAGAUCUUCAGAAACAAGGAUAAGCAAUGCAUGUUAAUAUGUUAUGAUAAAUUUUGCACAAAGUGCAAACAUUUGUGUUGGUGUAAGAAUAUGAUAUAUUGCCAGCCAUAUUGCCAGUGAAGCCAUGAAUGAAACUCUUUCUGAAGCAAAGCUAAAGCAUUGGAGAGCUGCACAGCCUGAAAACACCGAGACUCGAUGUCGCUGUCCAUGGUUCUGAAAGCAGCCUUUUGCUUCUCAAGGUGGUGAUACACGAGGGAAUUUUUGAGCAAUGUUGCUUGGGCACUUUCUCAUUGAGAAUGAGCAACACAUUUAUAUCUGGAUACUUUAAAUCGGUCGUGGGCAAUUUUUGGAGAUCCUCCAAUCAGAAUGCUAGCAGCCGAUCACGUGACCGGCUUGGAGAUUUCAGAAAAAAAUUCAAACAAGAUGGCGGCCUCUCAGCGGCAGUGGACUGAAGAAAAGGAGCGUGAACUUAUACCUUUUUACGCUGGUGAUCGAAGCUCUUACGGGUUUGGAGCGACAUGAGGAACUGAUUUCCCUAUGACCACAGUACCAUGACCCUUGAGGGCUGAACAGGCUGUGAUCUGAGACAAUCUGUGAUAUGCUAAUUGUGUAGAAAUCAAUUCUCCAUCACAUGAUGAGCACAUUAAUCACCAGCAUUCUCUAUGCGGUGCUCUAGAUUCUCAUUCUCUGAUUUCUGCUGCCGUGCUUCCGUCAAUCACAUGAUCAGCCGUGAUGAGCCGGUUUGGAAGGGUCUGAGAGGACUGAUGGAGAUUACAAGGAAUGUGAUUAGAUAAUCAAAUCGAAAACCCACUGUCAUUUGGCUGAUUUUGUUUGUUGGGGUUCAUAAUCUUUUUUUUUUAUUAUGUCAUAUUUUAUCUUAUUGUAAGUUUCAAAAUCACUGCUUUAUGAAGAAGAACAACCAACAAGGACAGAAGAAACUAGUAACUGAGAUGUAAUUUUG